This 519-nucleotide ribosomal RNA is filed under the name uncultured bacterium. RNAcentral describes it as "bacterial SSU rRNA". It matches the Rfam family "Bacterial small subunit ribosomal RNA", at positions 28 to 526 of the family's 1533-position model. The record is from RNAcentral.
GACGAACGCUGGCGGCGUGCCUAACACAUGCAAGUCGAACGGAGUAUGUAGCAAUAUAUACUUAGUGGCGAACGGGUGAGUAACGCGUAGAUAACCUACCGAACAGAUGGGGACAACACUGCGAAAGUGGUGCUAAUACCGAAUAACCUAUUAACCUCGCAUGAGGAAGAUAGCAAAGAUGGCCUCUCCAAGGAAGCUGUCGCUGUUUGAAGGGUCUGCGUCUGAUUAGCUAGUUGGAGGAGUAAAAGCCCCCCAAGGCGAUGAUCAGUAGCCGGUCUGAGAGGAUGAACGGCCACACUGGGACUGAGACACGGCCCAGACUCCUACGGGAGGCAGCAGUGGGGGAUCUUCCGCAAUGGACGAAAGUCUGACGGAGCAACGCCGCGUGAGUGAAGAAGGCCCUCGGGUCGUAAAGCUCUGUCGAGUGGGAAGAAAGAGCUAUAUGUGAAUAGCGUAUAGAAGUGACGGUACCACAAGAGGAAGCCACGGCUAACUACGUGCCAGCCGCCGCUGUAAAAC